CGGGCGCGAGUGCCUUUCCCGCCGCUCUGCUUCCCCAGCCGCCUUGGUCCCCGUCCCUAGGCGCGUGCACAGCACAGGGCUUUCUCCUGCCUCGUCGCCCAGGCCCCACUUCCCUUGCUGCCUCCGGGGUGCAGGGACGCGCGCCCAAGCCGUCCGCCCCUCUUGGGCUCCGGAGGAGAAGAGAAAUAUCCAUGUGAGAUGGAAACAGCCAUUGGCUGCCUCUUGCACGCCCCCUCACGGGGAUCCAGCCCACAAUCCUGACAGAAAUCCAACCAGCAACCUUUCAGGUGGAUUUCGGAUCUAGAACUCAGGUCACCUCCUUGGAAAAUCAGCAAGCAGCAGCUGAACUU
Molecule: long non-coding RNA, 350 nt
Organism: Eptesicus fuscus (big brown bat)
Lineage: Eukaryota; Metazoa; Chordata; Mammalia; Chiroptera; Vespertilionidae
Exons: 3
Source: RefSeq, a predicted model, not a curated record